This is a long non-coding RNA of Cyprinus carpio carpio, 1880 nucleotides long. NCBI's taxonomy places the organism in Eukaryota, Metazoa, Chordata, Actinopteri, Cypriniformes, Cyprinidae. The record is from Ensembl.
AUGCGUUUUCUGUGGACAGUGAUUGUAUUCGCUUUGGACCCGGUGACUCCAUCUACUCCCUUCAGAGCGCAAACUGUUUGGCUCUCUGCCCUGUCUUCUGAGUCAUCGACCUUGUGUGAUGCAGACACUCAGAUUUUGGUGUGCCCUUUCAGGGCUUUGAGGACUUACAUUGACCGUUUGGCCAGCUUACGGCAGUCUGACCAGCUUUUCGUGUGCCACUGUGGUUGUAUGAAGGGCCGGGCCGUGUCAAAACAGAGACUUUCCUACUGGAUUGUGGACGCUAUCACGGCUGCUUAUACUGUACGAGCCAAGGUUUGGAAUGCCCCUUUCACAUUAGGGCCCACACAACAAGAGCUAUCACUUCCUCAUGGGCAUGGUCAAGAGGAUAUAUGUCUUGCAGCUGACUGGUCUUCUCAGAAUACCUUUGUCAGGUUUUACAAGCUGAACGUUCAGUCCUUAGCUUCCGAAGUACUGUCGCACUUCUCUGACUUUACAAGCUGUACCACAACCUUGGAGCGCCCACAACAACUGCUCUUAUGGCUCCUAUAAAGAUUCUCUUGCAUUUUACCCUGCAUGCCAACAGAAAGUGCUCAUUCCAGUAAACACCAUAGGUAACAUUCUGAAAAUAUUUAUGAAAUAUUUCACAUUAUAACUGCUUUUAGUGUAUUUUUGAUCAAAUAAAUGCAGCCUUGGUCAGCAUAAAUUAUAUAAAAUUUUAAGUGAUAUAUAUAGAAAGUUUACAUUUUGACAUAUUUUGUUAAUGUGUCCUUUUUGGUGAAGGCAAGUGGGGUAUGUGGACGUUUUGCAUUCUAGUCAAAGAAUUAGUGCCAUCUCAUUCCUGUGUAAUGGGCUUUAAACAUGGCCUGCUGCUUGACCUUUGACCAAACACAGGCCUAAUCCACUGACCCAGACUCUGCUCUACACAGACUCCUCUCAUCCGGAUCAUCUCUGACGAAGAGGAACGGCGACAUCUCUGGAGGUCCCUGGGGCUUGACCUUUGACCUUUCCUAUCUGGGGCUUAAACCCUGAUUUAAAGUCACAGUUUGGCCCUCAUGACUGACCCCAAACUCAAAAACCUCAUAAAGAGACAGAGUAGAGAGGCUGGACUGUCCAGUUUCAGUUACACAGGUUUAUUACUUGCCAAACACUGAAAAAAAAAAAAUUAUAAUAAUUUUUUAUAUUACUGCCAUCUCCUGUAUGAUUCAUCUUAGAGUGCAGAGCCAGUGGGAGGAAUCCGUUCAUUGAAUAUGUGCCACCUCAUUCAGCCAAAACUAAGAAUGCAGCAAUGUAAACUAGAGACCUGCCAUGGGCUUUCUUUUGCCAUGGUUUGGGGGCUGGGCAAAGGAAUCACAGAAUGACUGAGGAGAUGUGCCAGAUGGGCAGAUGUUGGCUAAAGGGGAGCAGCAACGGAAAUCCCCUUUAUCCAGGCCAGCGUGCCAACCUGAGGCCAUGCUACCAAAAGCAUACACACCUACUGUCAUAUACUCACAAACAAAUCACUGAAAGGCACAAUAAAUGUGCAUCUUACGAAAUGCCAUUAUUUAAUGAUUUCUGAGCUCUUUCAAAGCAAUUGAUUUGUCCUUUCACGUUUAAAUACAAUGUAUUGAAGUUUCAAUGACAUGAUGCUCAUUAUUGUUCUUCAUUUUUUCAUAAAUACAUUAAAAAUGCAAUUCACAUAGCCUAUAAAAUAACUUUAAGGAUAAGUUUGCUGAUUUUCAACUAGCUUUGUAUUGAUACAAUGGCAAUAGUAUAUGUAAAUGAACAAUGUGUACUUUUUCUCCAUGUUACCUGAACCUUGAUAUCUCAGUUUAUUUGUAAGUUAAACUUUUGACAGCUUUCGACAGAGUUUUUUUUUUUAAUUGUGCUUCCGCAUUUUUGUG